GGGGUUUCUCUUCAAUUCUGUGGUUGCUU
This 29-nucleotide non-coding RNA is filed under the name Mus musculus (house mouse). Lineage: Eukaryota; Metazoa; Chordata; Mammalia; Rodentia; Muridae. The record is from RNAcentral.